This 502-nucleotide ribosomal RNA is filed under the name uncultured bacterium. RNAcentral describes it as "partial 16S ribosomal RNA". It matches the Rfam family "Bacterial small subunit ribosomal RNA", at positions 28 to 507 of the family's 1533-position model. The record is from RNAcentral.
GACGAACGCUGGCGGCGUGCUUAACACAUGCAAGUCGAACGGUGAAGGGGUCUGCUUUUGUGGGCCCUGGAUGAGUGGCGCACGGGUGAGUAACACGUGAGUAACCUGCCCCCUUCUUCUGGAUAACCGCAUGAAAGUGUGGCUAAUACGGGAUAUUCUGGGUCUGUCGCAUGAUGGGUCUGGGAAAGAUUGCGCCUUUGGGUGUUUUUGGUGGGGGAUGGGCUCGCGGCCUAUCAGCUUGUUGGUGGGGUGAUGGCCUACCAAGGCGGUGACGGGUAGCCGGCCUGAGAGGGUGGACGGUCACACUGGGACUGAGACACGGCCCAGACGCCUACGGGAGGCAGCAGUGGGGAAUAUUGCACAAUGGGCGCAAGCCUGAUGCAGCGACGCCGCGUGAGGGAUGGAGGCCUUCGGGUUGUAAACCUCUUUCGCCAGUGAAGCAGGCCUGCUCCUUGUGGGUGGGUUGACGGUAGCUGGAUAAGAAGCGCCGGCUAACUACGUG